Sturnus vulgaris (Common starling) is the source of this 2936-nucleotide non-coding RNA. The record is from RefSeq and is a predicted model, not a curated record. Lineage: Eukaryota; Metazoa; Chordata; Aves; Passeriformes; Sturnidae.
GGAAAGGAGAAGGAUAAAUGUGUGUGGGCACUGGCAAGAGGCCACACUCUUCAGGCCAUGUUCUGUAUCCCUCCCCUCUCCCAUUGCCUUGCAGAGUGUAUAGGCUCAGCUAUAUAAAAUAAUACAUUUAUUUCAAAAUUGUGUUAAAUGAGCUCAUCUCAGUCACUCAGCAGUUAUGAAAUCCUGCCAAGUGCUACACGUCUUGUAAAUUUAGAGGUUGUUGUUUUUUUUUUUCUUAAUUUGCAAAGGAUGAAAUACUACACAGUUGCUGAGGCAGAGAGGAGGCAUCUUCCUUCACCCAUAACAUUCUGAGGCACGAAGAACGAUGCUGAAAGCCAAGGUUUCUGAUUUGACCUUCCUCCUUAGAGCUUCUCAACAUGAAGAUUCCUGAUUCACAGGAGCUGUCUGCUCAGGGCAGGCAAAAUUAUCAUUCCCUGCACUCACAGCUGAGGAUUUUGAUGGGGUUGGUGACCAGCUCUAGCACAGCACAGAUUUUUCUCCUUUUCCUUCUCCUUUUCCUUCUCCAUUAUCACCAGCUUGGAACCAGGAACGGGUGAGACUCUUCUGCUGCUUCCCUCCUAACGAGGUUUUCUGUGAGUGUUCCAUGUCCUGCUGCUGCUGCUGCCAACGUGGAUGCGAAUGCCGUGGCUACAAAGGCUCCUCACUGUCUCAUGCCGGGUCCCUCAAAUCCAAGAGCUACUUGGCAGUUUCCAAGGCAACCACCUGUGGAAUAAUUAAAAAGGAUGGAAGUGUUAGCGUGCCAGAUAUAAGGAAUUCUUGCCUGGAGAGAGCGUUUCACUUUCUUCCGUCAUGAAGAAUCAAACAUGCUUCUGCCAGCAAAGUUAAGAAAAAGAAAGGGUGGCUGAGUUACACAAGUGAACCAGGACGACACAAAAUGUAAGUCGAAGAGGAGUGCUCAUUUUCCUAUUUUAUAAGAUUAUUGAUCAGCUUUUCUAGAAGACAUCCAUUUAAUUAUGAAGGCCAUUAGUAUUCCUCAUUUCCUGGUGUGUGAGUGCAGUUUGUAGAACUGUCUGGGUUCCCUGUUUCUGAGCCAUGUGGCUCAACAUGAGUGGCACAAGGUGGAUCUUUUCUCUCCCUUUGUCACCACUGUGUCAAGGCACUAAGGAGUUCAAAGCUGGGUUGUGUCUUAAUUACUGCUGUUGUAGCUGUGAUGAUCCAGGGAUGUGAAGAGGAGGGGUUUGAGGGCAAGAAGGGCUGGAAAGGGAUUUUAACCUCUAAAAGUAAUUAGAAUUGUCUGUCAUUUCAGCUGGUGUAAGAAAAGCUUGGACCUUACUUUGAGGCUGCUGUAUUUUGGCUGAGUAUUUUGGAAUACGUUUAAAACAUUUGGGACUUGGGUACUGUGAGAGUUCAUGGUUUGGUGGGGCUUGGAGCAGCCUGGCCUAGUGGACCACACAAGACCUUUUCCAUUUUGGUCAAGAGAGCAGCAUGUUCUUCAGUGAUAUUUUGCAUAGCAAACCUUACAGACCAUCUUUCUGAUUCACUUCUAGUAUUCAAUGGCACAUUUUAAAGAGAGAUGCUUCAAGCUGUCUUGAGCAGAGCGUGCUCUAUGUGAUAACAACAUCUACACUGCCAUUGUAAUAACAAAACCCAAGGUGAUUCUGGGUCUGGUUUCACACCAGCUAACAAGUGGACUCAUUAUAAGAUGAUGUGAGGUUUUCUAUGUAUUGUUGACUCAACUCUAAAAUACCUAUAACUCUGCAAAAUGCGUCUCGGCUUGUUUACUAAGUGAGAAGUGUAUUUUUAAUGCAUAGGUUUUGAAAUUAUUGGUGACUCCAGUUUUUCCAACAGCCUUUGUGGGGUGUUUUAGUUACAACUGUUUUUUACUUUUAUGGAUGCCAUUUUAAUUUAUACCUAUAUCUCCUCUUUUUAAAUUUUUUCUGUCGGAAAAUUUCUAAGUAAUUCUGCAGAACUACUUUUUAUAGACACUCAAUAUAAAAAAAAAAAAAUGGUAGAACAUGUGUCAGGCAUCUGCAAUUCCUUCAGCAUCAUGUUUUCCACAAUGAUUUAAUAGCUAUUGAGUCUCCUCAAAUAACUUUGUUUCCAAGACCUAUUUUAUGGUAAUAAAUCAUCUUGGCUGUAAAAUUCUUGAAAUGAUUCAGUAGGACAAUCGUUUCCUUAGCACAUUCCCUGAGAGAUCAUAGAUAGAAAUGGAAAAGUCCUUAACCAGGUCAGCUUUUCCCCUGCAAUACUUGUGGUCAGUGCUGGAAGUGAUAAUGAAGUUGCCAGCAUUUGUUCUGGUGAACUGCAGUUCUCCAGUGUUCCCUGUUCAUUUCUUGCUCAUUUACAGUGAGUGUGCUAUUAGAGGUACUAAAUUACACUAAGAAAUUCUGAGCCAGAUACAGAAUAAAAGAUUUGUCAUGGUGUGAUGGAACCUCUCAUUUUAAAAAAGGUCUGUCUCGAAAUUCAUAUAAAAAUACCAAUGAAAUAACCCAAGACUGCCUUAAUUUCCCUUUCCAUUUAUACCUGAGGGUGGAGGUGGUGUAGUCCUUGGGGUAGAGGUUGAUUUAAUAAAUUGUCAGGUAUGUGAGGGUGGUUGUGAUGCCUGAUCUGUCAAUCUCUGCAGGGUAGUCUUGCAUGAUGUAACCCCUUGUGGCUUUCUGACACCUGGGAAAGGCUGUUUAACUUGGUCAUUGCUGGGAGCAGGCAAGGAGGGAAUCCAACCAGGAGUCCAUGAGGAGUACAUCACAUGUGCCAAGAAAAAGGAAAUGUGGUUUUGCUCAGAACUCUGGACAUCUGGAGUUCUGGGUGAAUAACCAGGAGGUUAGAGAGGGAUUCAAGGAGAGAUGGUAUCCCUUGACCUAAAACGUGUAUCUCUGCUGGUUUCUUUGUGUGAUGUUUUCCAAUUUGAACAUCAUAUGGCUGCUCAGAGAAGCUGUGUCUGCCCCUGGAUCCCUGGAAGUGUCCAAGGCCAGGCU